GCGGGUCGAAGUCGAGCCGGUCAUCCGGCGCCGGCAACGCGGGUUCGAAUCCUGCCGCCCCGCA
This 64-nucleotide transfer RNA is filed under the name Sphaerisporangium krabiense. Its description in RNAcentral is "tRNA-Ser". The record is from RNAcentral. Lineage: Bacteria; Bacillati; Actinomycetota; Actinomycetes; Streptosporangiales; Streptosporangiaceae.